RNAcentral lists this non-coding RNA (105 nucleotides) under uncultured Eubacterium sp. RNAcentral's name for it is "FMN riboswitch (RFN element)". It matches the Rfam family "FMN riboswitch aptamer (RFN element)". From Rfam's summary of the family: The RFN element is a highly conserved domain that is found frequently in the 5'-untranslated regions of prokaryotic mRNAs that encode for flavin mononucleotide (FMN) biosynthesis and transport proteins. This element is a metabolite-dependent riboswitch that directly binds FMN in the absence of proteins. The record is from RNAcentral. Lineage: Bacteria; Bacillati; Bacillota; Clostridia; Eubacteriales; Eubacteriaceae.
UCUCAGGGCAGGGUGUGAUUCCCGACCGGCGGUUAUAGUCCGCGAGCCAUAUGGCCGAUUCUGUGUAAUUCAGAAACCGACAGUAUAGUCUGGAUGGAAGAGAGA